AGCUUAUWGAAAAUUUAUAAUAAGUCUGUUCUGCCCAGUGGAUUUCUAAACGGCCGCGGUACCCUGACCGUGCAAAGGUAGCAUAAUCACUUGCCUUUUAAUUGAAGGCUAGAAUGAAAGAAUAAACGUUAAUCUUCCUUUUCCGUAUGUUGUCAUAAAAAUUAUUCUUCAGGUGAAGAAACCUGAAUUCUCUAAAAAGACAAGAAGACCCUAUCAAGCUUCAUAUUUUUUAAGCCCCUCUUAUUUAAAUAUUUGGUUGGGGCGACAAUGGAGACUCUUUAUCCUCCAUCAUAAUUAUGAGUUAUUUCUCUCUCCUCUUAAUACUAUAUUAAAAUAAAGCUACUGUAGGGAUAACAGGCUUAUAUUUCCUCAGAGUUCAAAUUAAAGGAAAUGAUUGGCACCUCGAUGUUGGCUUAGGGUCCUAUUUUCUGCAGAAGGAAAAUAACGGUAGUUUGUUCAACUAUUAAACCCCU
This 473-nucleotide ribosomal RNA is filed under the name Proceraea rubroproventriculata. Its description in RNAcentral is "partial 16S ribosomal RNA". It matches the Rfam family "Bacterial large subunit ribosomal RNA", at positions 1828 to 2597 of the family's 2925-position model. Lineage: Eukaryota; Metazoa; Annelida; Polychaeta; Phyllodocida; Syllidae. The record is from RNAcentral.